RNAcentral lists this ribosomal RNA (465 nucleotides) under uncultured Klebsiella sp. RNAcentral describes it as "bacterial SSU rRNA". It matches the Rfam family "Bacterial small subunit ribosomal RNA", at positions 338 to 795 of the family's 1533-position model. Lineage: Bacteria; Pseudomonadati; Pseudomonadota; Gammaproteobacteria; Enterobacterales; Enterobacteriaceae. The record is from RNAcentral.
CCUACGGGGGGCAGCAGUGGGGAAUAUUGCACAAUGGGCGCAAGCCUGAUGCAGCCAUGCCGCGUGUGUGAAGAAGGCCUUCGGGUUGUAAAGCACUUUCAGCGGGGAGGAAGGCGUUAAGGUUAAUAACCUUGGCGAUUGACGUUACCCGCAGAAGAAGCACCGGCUAACUCCGUGCCAGCAGCCGCGGUAAUACGGAGGGUGCAAGCGUUAAUCGGAAUUACUGGGCGUAAAGCGCACGCAGGCGGUCUGUCAAGUCGGAUGUGAAAUCCCCGGGCUCAACCUGGGAACUGCAUUCGAAACUGGCAGGCUAGAGUCUUGUAGAGGGGGGUAGAAUUCCAGGUGUAGCGGUGAAAUGCGUAGAGAUCUGGAGGAAUACCGGUGGCGAAGGCGGCCCCCUAGACAAAGACUGACGCUCAGGUGCGAAAGCGUGGGGAGCAAACAGGAUUAGAUACCCUUGUAGUC